This 253-nucleotide ribosomal RNA is filed under the name uncultured bacterium. RNAcentral describes it as "partial 16S ribosomal RNA". It matches the Rfam family "Bacterial small subunit ribosomal RNA", at positions 524 to 776 of the family's 1533-position model. The record is from RNAcentral.
UACAGAGGUCUCAAGCGUUGUUCGGAUUCAUUGGGCGUAAAGGGUGUGUAGGUGGCGCCGUAAGUCGGGUGUGAAAUCUCGGGGCUUAACUCCGAAACUGCAUUCGAUACUGCGGUGCUUGAGGACUGGAGAGGAGACUGGAAUUCGUGGUGUAGCAGUGAAAUGCGUAGAUAUCGUAAGGAAGACCAGUGGCGAAGGCGGGUCUCUGGACAGUUCCUGACGCUGAGGCACGAAGGCCAGGGGAGCAAACGGG